AGCGAACGUUAGCGGCGGGCCUAACACAUGCAAGUCGAGCGAGAAAGUGGCUUCGGCCAUCAGUAAAGCGGCGGACGGGUGAGUAACACGUAGGUAAUCUUCCCUUGAGCGGGGGACAACGUUUCGAAAGGAACGCUAAUACCGCAUAAGUUUCCAGGAACUCUGGUUCUUGGAAGGAAAGCUAGGUCGCAAGAUCCGGCACUCGAGGAGGAGCCUGCGUCGCAUCAGCUAGUUGGUGGGGUAANGGCCUACCAAGGCGAAGACGCGUAGCUGGUCUGAGAGGAUGAUCAGCCACACUGGGACUGAGACACGGCCCAGACUCCUACGGGAGGCAGCAGUGGGGAAUAUUGGACAAUGGGCGCAAGCCUGAUCCAGCCACGCCGCGUGAGUGAUGAAGGCCUCGGU
Molecule: ribosomal RNA, 405 nt
Filed under: uncultured bacterium
Lineage: Bacteria
Description: bacterial SSU rRNA
Rfam family: Bacterial small subunit ribosomal RNA
Source: RNAcentral